GCCUUCGUGGUGUAAUAGCCAGCACGCUCGACGCGUAACCAAGAGAUCCGUGUUUCGAAUCCCGGCGAAGGCU
Stegodyphus mimosarum is the source of this 73-nucleotide non-coding RNA. The record is from Rfam. NCBI's taxonomy places the organism in Eukaryota, Metazoa, Arthropoda, Arachnida, Araneae, Eresidae.